RNAcentral lists this ribosomal RNA (422 nucleotides) under uncultured Mucilaginibacter sp. Its description in RNAcentral is "bacterial SSU rRNA". It matches the Rfam family "Bacterial small subunit ribosomal RNA", at positions 355 to 774 of the family's 1533-position model. The record is from RNAcentral. Lineage: Bacteria; Pseudomonadati; Bacteroidota; Sphingobacteriia; Sphingobacteriales; Sphingobacteriaceae.
UAAGGAAUAUUGGUCAAUGGGCGGAAGCCUGAACCAGCCAUGCCGCGUGCAGGAAGACGGCCCUACGGGUUGUAAACUGCUUUUAUACCGGAAUAAACCUCUUUACGUGUAAGGAGCUGAAUGUACGGUAAGAAUAAGGAUCGGCUAACUCCGUGCCAGCAGCCGCGGUAAUACGGAGGAUCCAAGCGUUAUCCGGAUUUAUUGGGUUUAAAGGGUGCGUAGGCGGCCUAUUAAGUCAGGGGUGAAAGACGGUAGCUUAACUAUCGCAGUGCCUUUGAUACUGAUGGGCUUGAAUGUACUUGAGGUAGGCGGAAUGUGACAAGUAGCGGUGAAAUGCAUAGAUAUGUCACAGAACACCAAUUGCGAAGGCAGCUUACUAAAGUAUGAUUGACGCUGAGGCACGAAAGCGUGGGGAUCAAACA